RNAcentral lists this ribosomal RNA (495 nucleotides) under uncultured Streptococcus sp. RNAcentral's name for it is "partial 16S ribosomal RNA". Lineage: Bacteria; Bacillati; Bacillota; Bacilli; Lactobacillales; Streptococcaceae. The record is from RNAcentral.
ACGUAGUUAGCCGUCCCUUUCUGGUAAGCUACCGUCACAGUGUGAACUUUCCACUCUCACACCCGUUCUUGACUUACAACAGAGCUUUACGAUCCGAAAACCUUCUUCACUCACGCGGCGUUGCUCGGUCAGGGUUGCCCCCAUUGCCGAAGAUUCCCUACUGCUGCCUCCCGUAGGAGUCUGGGCCGUGUCUCAGUCCCAGUGUGGCCGAUCACCCUCUCAGGUCGGCUAUGUAUCGUCGCCUAGGUGAGCCAUUACCUCACCUACUAGCUAAUACAACGCAGGUCCAUCUUGUAGUGGAGCAAUUGCCCCUUUCAAAUAAAUGACAUGUGUCAUCCAUUGUUAUGCGGUAUUAGCUAUCGUUUCCAAUAGUUAUCCCCCGCUACAAGGCAGGUUACCUACGCGUUACUCACCCGUUCGCAACUCAUCCAAGAAGAGCAAGCUCCUCUCUUCAGCGUUCUACUUGCAUGUAUUAGGCACGCCGCCAGCGUUCGU